UUUCUCUCUUGGAUCUUUUUGCGGUCUGGGCUUGCUGUUCCUCCAAUCAGUAGUCAGGAAGCCCUUACCCCAAAAAGUAUUUGCGAGGGAUA
Molecule: non-coding RNA, 92 nt
Organism: Chelonia mydas (Green sea turtle)
Lineage: Eukaryota; Metazoa; Chordata; Testudines; Cheloniidae
Source: Rfam